GGGCAGGUACCAAAGUUGGUCAAAUGGACGGCACUGUAAAUGCCGCGGCUCUGCCUUCGAAGGUUCGAAUCCUUCCCUGCCCA
RNAcentral lists this transfer RNA (83 nucleotides) under bacterium. RNAcentral describes it as "tRNA-Tyr". It matches the Rfam family "tRNA". Rfam says of the family: Transfer RNA (tRNA) molecules are approximately 80 nucleotides in length. Their secondary structure includes four short double-helical elements and three loops (D, anti-codon, and T loops). The record is from RNAcentral.